RNAcentral lists this long non-coding RNA (2169 nucleotides) under Malus domestica (apple). RNAcentral describes it as "long non-coding RNA (MDOM_LNC008982)". Lineage: Eukaryota; Viridiplantae; Streptophyta; Magnoliopsida; Rosales; Rosaceae. The record is from RNAcentral.
AUAUAUCAAAAGGAAUAAAGGGGUUCAUGCAUCAUGGGGAAUGUUUUCAUGCUUCAUGGAUAUUUCAAAUAUCUUCCUUUAUUUUAAGCGUACCCGAUUGACAGAAAACAAAUAAGAGUCUUUGAAUUUUAUAGAAGAUAGCCUCCUUCUACGAUCCGUCAGUUCCUCAGCUUCUGGCAAUAGUGUGCUGAUAAUGUGUUGUAGGCCUAUUUAAUUGAGCUAUUCUAAGGGAAUAGAGAGAGGGAGGCCGGCGGUAGUGAGAGAGAGAAGAGAAAGAUUUAAUUGUGAGGUGUGUGUUGUAUCACCCCCAUUGUGUCUUUAUUUAUAGUAGUAGGAUAGGUAAAAUUUUUACCCUUUUAGGAUUACAACUCUAAUAGGAAUUAGACUACUAAAAGGAAUAUAAAAUAUAUUCCUAGAUACAUUUGAAUUUACACAAUCACAUUUCUAUUCUACAUAUGACUGCAACAUUUAUGAAUUUAAUGGAUUAAUUAUAUAAUUUAAUUUGUUAGUCGAAUACAUAUGUCAAAUAAUAAAUAUAAAAUAUAAAUAGAGAAAGCAAAUAGUGAAGAUAGAAAUCACUUCUCUUUUUUAAAAUUUGACUAUUUCUAAUAUUAGCUACCAAGUUUGGAGUUAUAUCAAGUUUUCUCUUUUAUAUUUGUGACCCAAACUCAUAAAAAAACCAUAAUUAUGUUUUGUUUUAUCGUCUAAACUGGACUCGGGUGAAGCAAACAAACAUUGAAAGCAUCCAUGGAAAUGUUCAUUAACACAUGAUAAUAAAAACGUAGUAGAAUUCUCUCCUUUAAAUUUCCUUCCUCUUUAGUUUGUUCAUAUUUGAACGGUCACAAUUAAAUUAAGAGGAAAAUGAGAAAAGAAAAAAGAAAGGGGACAUGAUUUGGAAGAGAGAAAAUCUUACUCCAUUAGGAACACUAAAAUAUUAGUAAAUCCGUAAUAUUCAACUAAACCUGUUAAUUGAGAGCAUAUAUAUAUAUAUAUAUAUAUAUAUAUAUAUAUAUAUAUAUAUAUAUCUUUGGAUUGAUGUUGCCUAGAUUUGGAUCCUUACCAUUAAUAUAACCAAAACUAAGACUCUUAUGAAACCCUAGCAACUGCCAUAUCUCACUAUUAUUUAUAGCAUAAUCAUAUCGACUUUUCAAAUUACAAAUUCCAUACGAUGGAGUCCCCUCUUGGUUAUGCGUUAACAUUCUUCUUUGCUUGUAAUUUGUUUUUUCUCCUCUCAUCUCCUUCACCAGCCAAUGCAUCAGCAGAUCAAUUGGUCGAUGGUGUUUGCCAAAAAUCCAUAAAUAAUACCGAGUGCAUGGAAGUUCUCCACUCCGAUCCAUCAAAUCGGCAUCCACUUACAUAUUUCUUUAUCAAGUCGCCCUCGAUCUAGCCAUAGUGAAUGCAAAAGAUAGCCAAGCAUUCAUCAACAAUUUACUCAAGAGUGAUCCAUCGGAGCCUAUUAAGCAAUGUGCUGCUUCAUACGAAUCAAUGGGUGCUUCAUCCGGAACGCAAAAGUUGAGAUAUACGAGGAUCCUUUGACGGUCAACUAUGAUGUCAAAAUUGCUGGAAAUGAUGCAGGUAACUGUGAAACUGCCUUUAAGUUCUAAAGGAGUAAGAUUUCCUAAAAUAUCUGCUAGAAACCUUUUUGUACUGUUAUAUAGUAGUAUUGGGGAUGUAAUCACAAGUCAGAUUGAUAUUGACUAUCUAUCUGCAGAUAUAUUCUAAUAAAAAGAAUCAGAAUUUCUUCUAAUACAAGGCUUUUUUUCUUAUUGAUUUUUGGCAACAAGGGUGAUUUCUCCUUAAAUAUAUUUCUCACAUCAAUUUAUACAAGGCUAAAUAGCCAAAAUGGUCCCUGAGAUUUGCAUAACUCAUCACUUUGGUUCCUCAGAUUCCAAAUCAAUAAAAGUGGUCUCUGAGAUUGUCCACCAUCCAUCAUUUUGGUCAUUCCGUUAAAAACUCUGUUAAAUGUCCCAGAGCUCUUGGCCGGAAGUUUGGGCAAUUUUCAAAGCUUCGUAACUCAAUUGUUUCUUAACCAAAUUAGACCCAUAAUAUAUCAAAAUGAAGAUAGGAAAGUGUAGAAUAAGAGUAUACCUAUUUGGAAGCCCAAUGGUUGCUGAGAUGGCUGGAAAAUAGCCUCAAAGUUAACUGGUCUGAGGGAAAACUUGAAAACUC